Molecule: ribosomal RNA, 532 nt
Filed under: uncultured bacterium
Lineage: Bacteria
Description: bacterial SSU rRNA
Rfam family: Bacterial small subunit ribosomal RNA
Source: RNAcentral
CGGAGAUCAGGAAGAACAUCGGUGGCGAAGGCGCUCUGCUGGACCAUAACUGACACUCAGGGACGAAAGCUAGGGGAGCGAAUGGGAUUAGAUACCCCAGUAGUCCUAGCCGUAAACGAUGGAUACUAGGUGUUGUCUGUAUCGACCCGGACAGUGCCGUAGCUAACGCGUUAAGUAUCCCGCCUGGGGAGUACGCACGCAAGUGUGAAACUCAAAGGAAUUGACGGGGGCCCGCACAAGCGGAGGAACAUGUGGUUUAAUUCGAUGAUACGCGAGGAACCUUACCCGGGCUUAAAUUGCAGACGAAUUAUCUGGAAACAGGUAAGCCGCGAGGCGUCUGUGAAGGUGCUGCAUGGUUGUCGUCAGCUCGUGCCGUGAGGUGUCGGCUUAAGUGCCAUAACGAGCGCAACCCUUGCUGUCAGUUACUAACAGGUCAAGCUGAGGACUCUGACGGGACUGCCAUCGUAAGAUGUGAGGAAGGUGGGGAUGACGUCAAAUCAGCACGGCCCUUACGUCCGAGGUCGACGCGGCC